Panonychus citri (citrus red mite) is the source of this 3808-nucleotide RNA transcript. It is a transcript of the gene named hybrid signal transduction histidine kinase M-like, with no coding region annotated. The record is from RefSeq and is a predicted model, not a curated record. The transcript is spliced from 8 exons. NCBI's taxonomy places the organism in Eukaryota, Metazoa, Arthropoda, Arachnida, Trombidiformes, Tetranychidae.
UUGUUAGUUUUUCUUUUCAGUUAAUUAAAUGUUUAUCUAUCUUUUUAAACGAUUGUCGCAAGUGAUUAAUGUUAAUGACGUUCCAUCACAUGUUAUACUUUUAACAAGCUUCAUUUCUUGUUCUCAUCUCUUAUAACCAAAGCUUCCAUCAUGAUUUUAAUUCUGUGAAUAUUCAUUAAUCUUCUGUGGUUUUUAUUUCGUCACUUUUGGGUGACCAUACUCGUAAUAUCAUUUUAAUUUCAAUUCUUUGUUGGUGAAAGUGGAUUCGGUAAAUCAGCAAUCGUGAUUAAUUCAACAGCCUGUGUGUGUUUAUCCUUCUACCUCUCACCUAAUGGUUCCUUGAAUAGGGGAGGAGAGGUUACCAUCUUGCCUUGGUUUGUUUCCUCCUUUGUUAGCGGAGGAUCAGCCAAUAUGUCAGACCGAGGGAACACGGCUACUGCUGCUUCUGCAAAUACCACAGUGGCUUCUUCUUCAUCAUGUUCAUCUUCAAAUCUUCCAAGUACAACUGCAAUUCAACAAUCAAAGAACCAUUCAAAUUUACUUGUGAUCGAUCUUACCAAUUCAGAUGAAGAAGAUAACCACCGAGCCAGUGGUGGAGGAGGAGGAGGAGGUAGUGGUGGUGGUAGUGGUGUUGUUGGCAUGAAUGUUAAUGGUGGUUCAACAACACUACCAACUAACACUGGUACCAGUUUUAGCUCCAAUAAUAAUAUUAAUAAUAAUAGCAACGGUAAUUCAAUUCAGUCUCAAAAUCAUCAUCACCAUCCACAAGUACAACAUCAACAUGGAGCUUUAUAUCUUCCUCAACACUCUCAACAUCCUUUACAACUUUACAACCAUCAUCCACCUCAUUCGCACCAUUUUCAUCAUCAUCUUCAUCAACAUCCAGGACGCGAAGCAGUGGAAAGGAAUAAAAAGUGUACGAGAAGGGACAAGAUUAAUUCUAACUGUGUACAUUCACCUGGUGAUAGUAAUAAUAACACCACGAGCCAGAUCAAUAGUAACAUUAGUUCUAAUCACAUAAAUCAUUACCCGAGCCAUAACCAAAGUCAAAACACUGGUAACAAUGGUAAUGGUAAUAGUAGCAAUAGUAACAGCAGCAGUAGCAGUUCCAGUAGUAAUAGCAACCAUAACGACAAUAACUGCUCCCAGAAUAUACCUUGCCACAGUUCCGUUGGAUCACCUUUACCACUCCCACUCAAUAUUGAUCCACCAGCGAUGUCAUCAACAAACCCUUACUUUAACCCAUGUAGAUAUGGUUACCUUCACCCUAAUGAUCCUAUCACUUCAAAUCGUAACCUAUGCCCUGACUUAAGCAAUAAUAAUGGUGAAGCCUGUUCAUCUUAUAGUAAUUGUUUUGUUGCAAGUUCAUCUAACGGAGUUAACUCUGCACCAGUAACUGGACCGUGUCCUCAUAAUCAUGGUUAUUGUCCAAUUGGUAGUCCCCAUACAUUGCCAGCUUAUCAAGGACAACCCUCUGAUUUAAGUCGUCUUUUUGGUCCAAAUUUAGCAGCACCAAUACCCUCGCCUAGACCCCGACAGGAGCCUUCGAUUUAUUUUCCAUACUACUCAGGCCAACCACCUCCACACCACAGCCACAGCUAUGCAUAUCAAUUGCCUCAUGGAAUGCAUCCAAAUCAUCAACGGAUUCUUAUGUCUCAUCAAAGGAUCGGUGAAAAUCACCGAAGGAGUUUUUUUAGACAUCAUCAACAGCGCGCUGGCCUGCCAAGCAGACGAUACAUGGAAGCCGGAAACCAAAUCAAUUACCAGCGGUACAUGGAUUCUGGUGUUAGCUUAACCCCGGGUAGUCAUGGAGCUCAUAAUAUUCCCGGAGCUCUUGCUCCUAAUGCCAAUUCUCAUGUUAACCUCUAUGAUUGUCCAAAUAACGAGUCAUCUUUCAGUUGGAACAUAGGAGUUUCUCCUCAAUAUAUCGAUCAGAAUCAAGCCAGUGCCGCAAUGACUAGUAUCGCAUUGCACACAAUCUCGGGACCUUCUCCCUCGAUUCCUCCCAUGUCUAUACCAGUGCCAAUAAAUCCUCUUAUAGCUACAAGUAGUGAUGGAACUCUUGUCACUACUACUGGUGAUACCUGCAAUAGAUUUGAUGUUUCAUCAUUAACUAUACCAUCAACUCGCGUUCCUAAUCUUAAUCCAAAUGUAAGGCCAAAUUCUAACUCACCUCAAGUAUCAUCUGUAAACAAUCCCAACGAAAUGGUUGAUCUUAACGAUGCCAUUCAAAAUGAUGUAAUUGUCAACACAUCUCCAGACGCUGCGCAUUCACAUAUACACCAUCAUGUUCAUCAACAUCAUUAUCAUCAUUCCCAUCCAAAUAGAGUUCAUCAUUUCGGAAAUCCUCAUCUACAAAUCACAAUCUCACCUCAAAUGAUUGUUGCCCCGAGACAGGAUGUGAUCUUUUCAGAACUUACUCCAAGUUUUUCACCGCCUUUUCACCAUCCAUAUCCAUCUCCUUAUAUAACUGGUUAUAUGAGGAGUAUUCAGCAACAUCGUCACUCAGCAACCGUCAACAGAGGAGCCUCUCAAGCUGUCAUAGAGCGAAACACUUUCCCGCACAAGUACAAGAAGAUUCAACGAAGUGCCGAGGUUGAGGACACCAUUGAAAAGUGUACUAUAUGUCUAUGUGAAUUUGAAGAUACCGAAGAUGUUAGACGUUUACCAUGUAUGCACCUAUUCCAUGUUGAAUGUGUUGACCAAUGGCUAGCGACCAAUAAACGAUGUCCAAUUUGUCGUGUUGAUAUCGAAGAGCAUCUUAAAGAUUUUGGCCUGGCCUCAUCGUGACUUGAAGAGCUAACUAAACUACUGUAAAUGUUAAUAAUUAUACACAUAAAUCUAUAUAUAUAUAUCUAUACAUAUAUAUAUCUACACCUGAUCCACAAAUACCAAUCACAUCAUGGGAAAACCACUAAUCAUAAUUUCUAUCUCUUCUAAUGUGUGCUCAAAACAAUCCUCAAUUUCACCGGAAACAAUUAACCUUCUCUCUCUCUCUCUCUCUCUCAAUAUCAUUUCACUGUCACUAUUUUUCUUCCGAUACCCUUUCACCUUUUUUAUUAUUUUUAUUUUACCUCUUUAACUCUUUUAAAACAUAAACAAUCCCCAAAUUCACAUUGCUAACCACAAGCGUCCUAAUCCUUUCAAAAGUAAAUCCCUUCAUCAUCCACAUCAUCAUCCACCAUCAUAACAAAAACCUCCAAGUCCCAUUUUUACCCUUUAAACAUAAAAAAAAAAUCCAUUUCUUGUGUUGUGUUUAAAUAUAAUGAGGAUUUGAAGAAAAGGACUCAUCAACAAUUAACUAAUUACAAAGAAUUAACAAAAAAAAAUUAUUGUUUAAGCUCAAACGGAUUCCAGGAUUUCAACCCGUUCGUCUAAUUGUCGUUAAUUUGGUUUCUGGUAUCUCGUCCCUUUUUGAUAGUUAAUUAAUUUGGAAUCAAUAAACUAACAAAGGAAUCAUUUAAUUAUCAUUGACACACUAACUCACAAUUAAACUUGGAUCUGCAACAAUUUAAACAAACACACACAUAAGGAUCACACAAUUAAUAAACCCGAGGAAAAAUUGAUUUGAUUGCAACCGAGAAAAACAAAACAAAUCAAAUCAAUAGAGAUGAUCAAUUGAAGUUAACUAAUUAAUAAUCAACUCGAAUCACUUGCUUUAAAUGUUUUUAAUUGUUCUCAUAUUUUUUUUAAUGUUAGACAUGAUUACUUUUUAAUUGUAAUCCAAAUAGGUAAUCUAAUUAAUACCUUUCAUCAACAAUAUUUAAAUAGUUAAUAUAAAAAAAAAGUAAAAAAAAAUUUCAUCAAG